Lathyrus oleraceus (garden pea) is the source of this 1143-nucleotide long non-coding RNA. RefSeq lists it as uncharacterized. The transcript is spliced from 2 exons. Lineage: Eukaryota; Viridiplantae; Streptophyta; Magnoliopsida; Fabales; Fabaceae. The record is from RefSeq and is a predicted model, not a curated record.
UUGGGCAGGAAAAGAAAGCCCAAUUCACAACGCCAACCCUACUCUCAGCCAAGUACCCAAAACACUCUUCCUGUUCAUUCAAACCUACCUCGUCCAAGUCAAAACGUAGAGGAGCACGUUCGCGGCGUCGUAGACAAGACGCUCGCGCGGUGGCGACCGUGAUUCCAUGAGGAAACUUACCUAAAAAGAACCGAUGCUCUCCUCUGGUCAUCUUUAGAUUGAGGCGAAGAUGGAAGCCUCCGUGUGCGUGAAUUGUGCGAAGAAGAGGAAUCUGAUUUUCUCCAUUGCUCCUGACUCGCACUCCAACGUUGUCUCGUUGCUCAUGGAUUCAUGCUCAUCAAUGUCCUCUUGAUCCAAUGGUUUGCGAUUCUAAUUCACGGAAUCAACGGGGAAUGUUAAUGAACUCAACGACGCCGAAUUGCGGCGGCAUCACCAGAUCGAGUUGAAGACCAUUGAAACAGGGAAAAGGAAGACUUACAGGUUAUGACCGACGUGAAGAAGAUGAAGACAAUCCUCUCGGCUUCGCGUCUUGCUUCGGCUUUUCCGGUAUGUUUUUACUCGGUUCUUUGUUCCUUCCUUCCUCUUCUUCUAUCCCGUUACCGCUUUUUCUCUGUGUUUUCUGUUUCGAAGUUCGUUGUUGCCGGUUGUGUAAUCGGACUUGCAGGUGGUGGUGAUUCGGUUGGAAGCUAGACGUUGCUCGUGCGUCUUGCAGUUGGUUCGAGAGGGUGAAGAAACUCCAUUGAGUUAAGGAGUUUCUGUUAGAGAUAGCUGGUUGAAGAUCAGAGAAGGAAGUGAGAAGAGGCUCGGUUGAGGGCUCUUGCAGGGAUUGCAGAACGAAAGAAGGUGAUGAAAUGGAACGAGGAAAAAAUCAGAGGGAGUGAAGGUGGUGAGAAGGUCGAAGAAAAAACUAGAGCCAAAACAGAAUCAUGAAGGGUGCAAGGUAGGAUGGACAAGAUUACACAAAAAUUGUGUACUUGUAGCUUUUGUAAAUUGUAUUAAAUGGAUUGUAAUGUUUUUGUAUAGGUUAUGUAACUUGAAUGCUUGGUUUGUAAAGAUAUAUGUUUGCCAUUAUGGUGGGAUUGAAAACUUUGAUUGGAUGGAAGUUUGAAUAUUAUAAUGAAUCGAGGUUUGGGUUUAGAAUGA